AGUACUGCUCUGUUAGCAGUAGGAGAAAAUGAAAGAAUUCAGUGUCAGCAUUUUCUGUUUCUCAUCUGACAAACAAGGUCAGGUACUUCUUUGAACAACCCAGUUCCAAUAGCUGUGAAACAUAAAGAGACAAGCAGGGGAAGAUUUUCCAGAAAGGCUGGUGGCUAGGCACAAGCAAAUUACACCAUUAAUGUCAUCCUGGUGAAUGAAACAAGAGAAUAGUAUUUAUCAGAGAAAGUCUGGUGAGUUGAAGUCUGAGACCCCAGGAAAAAACUAGCCCUCCUGGGCUGCCCCUCCUUUGGAGUGGGACUAUGAUCCACAUCAGGCCAAUCCGAGUCACAGAAUGGUCUAGGCAUUGGAUGACUGCCCCAAUCUGAGCCAAGGAAGGUCAUUGCUGAGACAUUUUGCUGGUUGCCAGGCUGCAGGCAUCCCAGGCUUCCUGCUGCCCUCAUGUCUGCAACCUGUGGUCUGGAACAUUCCAGGAGCCACUUUUAUCACUUGCAGCAAUCUUCUUCAAAUACCACAGACUGGGCAAUUUAUAAAUGAUGGAAGUUUAUUUGGCUCAUGGUUCUGGAGACUGGGAAGUCCAAGAACAUGGCACUGUCAUCUGUUG
This 613-nucleotide long non-coding RNA is filed under the name Pongo abelii (Sumatran orangutan). RNAcentral describes it as "lincRNA". Lineage: Eukaryota; Metazoa; Chordata; Mammalia; Primates; Hominidae. The record is from RNAcentral.